GAGUUUGAUCCUGGCUCAGGAUGAACGCUAGCUACAGGCUUAACACAUGCAAGUCGAGGGGCAGCAUGGUCUUAGCUUGCUAAGGCCGAUGGCGACCGGCGCACGGGUGAGUAACACGUAUCCAACCUGCCGUCUACUCUUGGACAGCCUUCUGAAAGGAAGAUUAAUACAAGAUGGCAUCAUGAGUCCGCAUGUUCACAUGAUUAAAGGUAUUCCGGUAGACGAUGGGGAUGCGUUCCAUUAGAUAGUAGGCGGGGUAACGGCCCACCUAGUCUUCGAUGGAUAGGGGUUCUGAGAGGAAGGUCCCCCACAUUGGAACUGAGACACGGUCCAAACUCCUACGGGAGGCAGCAGUGAGGAAUAUUGGUCAAUGGGCGAGAGCCUGAACCAGCCAAGUAGCGUGAAGGAUGACUGCCCUAUGGGUUGUAAACUUCUUUUAUAAAGGAAUAAAGUCGGGUAUGGAUACCCGUUUGCAUGUACUUUAUGAAUAAGGAUCGGCUAACUCCGUGCCAGCAGCCGCGGUAAUACGGAGGAUCCGAGCGUUAUCCGGAUU
Molecule: ribosomal RNA, 553 nt
Filed under: uncultured bacterium
Lineage: Bacteria
Description: bacterial SSU rRNA
Rfam family: Bacterial small subunit ribosomal RNA
Source: RNAcentral